CUGGGCGCAGCCAAAGGGAAUCACUAUGAACAAAAUGACCUGCAUAUUUACUUUAGAAUCACAACUUUAAAUGCUAAUCAACAGCGUGCUGAAUCCUGUCAGUGGAAAGAGUGUAUUUUUGAGAGAAACCAUCUGCAAGGAGUCAUUCCAAACAGUCAAACCAGUUUCUCACACAACACACCCUGCAAAGUGCUGCCACAGUGCUCGCUCUAACUGAAGGAGUCGGCUAUGGAUUAUCAGGAGCAGGUUGAAGAAAUCACCACCACGGCCAAAUUUGGAGACUUGAUAGAAUUUGCUUACCCCAUCGGAUAUUCACACUGGGGAGUUUAUGAUCAAGACGGAUAUGUAUUUCAUUUUGCUGUUGCGGAUGAGAAGCAACUUAUGAACAACAUUCGUACUUACCUACAAAAAAUGUUCCCGGUGUGCGGCGACCUUCUCCUUGGGCAGACCAGGAUCCGCAGGGUGCCUCUCGGUGAGGUGAACGUCCCGAAGGGCGUCCACGUCUGUAUCGGCAACACGAGACACGACUUCACCCCCUCAACCCCGGAGCAGAUGAAACAGCGGUGUGACGCCCUUCUCGAUCAGGACUUACCAUAUAAACUUUUCACCCUCAACUGCGAGCACUUUGCUACUUUUGUACGUUAUGGAACAGCAGUGUGCAACCAGCUUCCUGGUAGAACGAAGAAUAAAGAGUGUGAGUUGGCAACUGAAACCUUCAAGAACAUUGUCAGCCCUAAAGAAACUGAUGCAGGUCCCUUGAGGGAAACCUCUGACUUCUUUAAUUCACAUGUAUGGUAGGAAAAUGUAUUCAAAAGGGGAAUGAGGUAAACAUUGGUGUAAUUCGUACAUAGUCUGGUGGAAUAUAUGAAUCCUCUUUGUAUUAAUUCAGCAAAUCAUUUAUACUAAUCAUUUACAGAUUCUGCAACUCAUGGGCCAUGGGUGUGUUCUCAUGCAACCUCAGCCUAACAUGCCAAGUGUUCAAUUGUAACCUAGGCUCAAGUAUUUAUGUAUGUGGACGAGGGGAAGUACAGUGACUGCAGAGGAGCUUCCAACAUUGUAGUUUAACAUUUUACUUGAGCCUAACUCCAGAGGAGGGCAGUGCUGCGUCGAAAGCCCUAAAAACGGCAAACAGUUAAUCAACAGUUGCUAUCAGGACUGGUAAUCAAUUACUAAUUGUCUUCAUGUUGACAAAGGUAUCAUUUCAUUGUAUAGUUGGAUUUCUAAGCAUUGACUAAGCAUUAAGCAACUGUAGUAACAUGUCUUGUUAACAUGUAAUGGGGUUUUAAAUUAUAUAAACAUUAUAGCAGCAUUUAUAGCAGUAAGAGAGUUGCAGAUUGUAAGAAAAAAUAUACUGCUCUUUCCCAGGUGUUUUGGUCUCUGGUGGCCUUGGUAGGGUAAUAGGUAAGAAUAGGAUUGUAUUACUACAAGGCGCUCACAUGAUCAAUACUCAGUACAUUCCCAUGACUAAAUAAUGCUUUUAAGAACGUAUAUCAUUUUAAACAAAUAAAUUCAGAAUAGAAUUAAUUCAAAGGAAUGAUAAAUGUUAAAUGGACAAAAUUUGUAUUUCUCUUUUUAAGUCUUCCCACCCACAUCUUUUAAUACUACAUGUCUACAUUCACCCAUUUUCUUAUCUUCAAAGGCAAAUAGAUGAGAACAAGCAGAGCCAUUUUCUUUUAGAUCAAACUAUACUGAGACAUAUUGUAUUAUGGUGCAUUAUACCAUAUUUUUUCUAAUAUCACCCUAAACUACAACAUUGUUUAUGAUUUUUUAUGGCUUGAUAUACGAUAACAAUUUCAAAAAUACACUAUGAUAAUAAAUGAAUAAAUAAACUAUAAUACUUUCAUGUUUUUUAGACAUUCUAUCCAAUGAUCUAUUUGAUUAAAUACAUAAAGAGUUAUGAAAUGUUUAGCAUACUAUGCCAUUUUAAUUACAGUAAACUAAAGUUAAGUUAAGGGGUUUCAUGAUUUUGUUUUCAAGGCAUAUUAUGCAAUAAAAUAUUUUGUUACAUUUUUAUGACAUUAAAUACUACCGUGUGACAUUUUUCUGAUCUCUUACUCACUUUAACAAUUUGUGUGUUGUACUAUGAUAUUUUUAUGGCACAUUAUAGUAUGAUAAGAUGUAUAAUAUUCUUAACUGUUCGGUUCUUUAGUUUAAUUUUAGUCACUGUUCUCUGUUCUAAAGCAAACAAACAAGAUAAAGGUUUGGAUGCUUGAUGAUUGAUUCUUGUCCAUUAUGGGUGGUUCGGGACAGCUUUCUCUAUGGUUUUGCAAGACAUGCAAGUUAUGCAAGGUCAAAGUUGAAUCCAAGCACAGCAGUUGAGGAGGGAAGUCGGUGCAGUGUGCAAAGUCGCAGCUCUGCUUCAGCAUCUUCAGAGCAGGACAACUCAGCGGAUGCCCAGUUCAUCUGGUUGAGGCAACCUACCUCGGUGUAAGAGAAGCCAACAGUUGGGAACAGAGGAAAGCAGUGCAACUGUAAAACACUGGAAAUAUGCAGUAAGACUAUAAAACACAUCACCUCUGGCUAAAUUCUCUUUAGUGAAUAACCACUGCACUACUGUCUUGGUUUAAUAUCAAUAACAUUGCACCACUGUCUUAAUUAAAUGUUACACCUAUUCCACCC
This is a long non-coding RNA of Gasterosteus aculeatus aculeatus (three-spined stickleback), 2619 nucleotides long. The record is from Ensembl. Lineage: Eukaryota; Metazoa; Chordata; Actinopteri; Perciformes; Gasterosteidae.